GCAUAUCAAUAAGCGGAGGAAAAGAAACCAACAGGGAUUGCCCUAGUAACGGCGAGUGAAGCGGCAACAGCUCAAAUUUGAAAUCUGGCGCAAGCCCGAGUUGUAAUUUGUAGAGGAUGUUUCUGGCGACGUGCCUUCCGAGUUCCCUGGAACGGGACGCCAUAGAGGGUGAGAGCCCCGUACGGUUGGAUGCCUAGCCUCUGUGAAACUCCUUCGACGAGUCGAGUAGUUUGGGAAUGCUGCUCUAAAUGGGAGGUAUACGUCUUCUAAAGCUAAAUACCGGCCAGAGACCGAUAGCGCACAAGUAGAGUGAUCGAAAGAUGAAAAGCACUUUGAAAAGAGGGUUAAAAAGUACGUGAAAUUGUUGAAAGGGAAGCGUUCAUGACCAGACUUGGGCAGGUUGAUCAUCCGUGGUUCUCCGCGGUGCACUCUGCCUGCCCAGGCCAGCAUCAGUUCGCCCCGGGGGAUAAAGGCUUUGGGAAUGUGGCUCCCUCGGGAGUGUUAUAGCCCACUGUGUAAUACCCUGGGGUGGACUGAGGUUCGCGCUCUGCAAGGAUGCUGGCGUAAUGGUCAUCAACGACCCGUCUUGAAACACGGACCAAGGAGUCGUCUUCGUAUGCGAGUGUUCGGGUGUCAAACCCCUACGCGUAAUGAAAGUGAACGUAGGAGAGAGCUUCGGCGCAUCUCCGACCGAUCCUGAUGUUCUCGGAUGGAUUUGAGUAAGAGCAUACGGGGCCGGACCCGAAAGAAGGUGAACUAUGCCUGUAUAGGGUGAAGCCAGAGGAAACUCUGGUGGAGGCUCGCAGCGGUUCUGACGUGCAAAUCGAUCGUCAAAUAUGGGCAUGGGGGCGAAAGACUAAUCGAACCUUCUAGUAGCUGGUUUCCGCGA
RNAcentral lists this ribosomal RNA (889 nucleotides) under Clonostachys rosea f. catenulata. RNAcentral describes it as "LSU rRNA". It matches the Rfam family "Eukaryotic large subunit ribosomal RNA", at positions 38 to 963 of the family's 3401-position model. The record is from RNAcentral. Lineage: Eukaryota; Fungi; Ascomycota; Sordariomycetes; Hypocreales; Bionectriaceae.